This 305-nucleotide ribosomal RNA is filed under the name uncultured bacterium. RNAcentral describes it as "bacterial SSU rRNA". It matches the Rfam family "Bacterial small subunit ribosomal RNA", at positions 335 to 640 of the family's 1533-position model. The record is from RNAcentral.
GCCUACGGGAGCAGCAGUGAGGAAUAUUGGUCAAUGGGCGGAAGCCUGAACCAGCCAAGUCGCGUGAGGGAAUAAGGCCCUACGGGUCGUAAACCUCUUUUGCCGGGGAGCAAGGGCCGGGACGAGUCCCGGUCCGGAGAGUACCCGGAGAAAAAGCAUCGGCUAACUCCGUGCCAGCAGCCGCGGUAAUACGGAGGAUGCGAGCGUUAUCCGGAUUUAUUGGGUUUAAAGGGUGCGUAGGCGGGCUUCUAAGUCGGCGGUAAAAAUUCGGGGCUCAACCCCGUCCGGCCGGUGAAACUGGGGGG